AAACAAGGGAAAGAAGGUAAAGGAAAGAAAAACCAUGGACGAACUUCCUUGUGCUCAUGCCUUCGUAGGAGCGUACCGUCACCCUCACUUGAAAACACCCAAUCAUAAUUGACCUUUGAGGCGGCUACUUCACCAACCGGUUAAUUUAUCACCCCACGGGGGAGCGCGCCCUAGCCCAGCUCCGAUCACCUUCUUCUUCAAUUCGCGGGAAGAGGCCUCGUUGCUCUGCAACUUGUAAUUCCUCAACAACAAUGUAUCCAUAAUAUUUCUCCAAUCUUAAUUUACAAGGAUCUGUUUUCUUCAAUACUGCAUAACUUGUAGCCUUCCUUGAAUUUUUGUUUUGGAAGUUUGAAACUCAUGGAAUCGGACGAAGAAGAUUUCAUAUUCUAUGGAACCCCAAUUGAGCGGGAGGAAGAAAUCAACAGCCGUAAAAAGAAAUCUGUGGCUGACGCUUCGGGUACCAUGCGAAGCCUCCCACACUGGAAACAAGAGGUUAGAGAUGAGGAAGGGCGUAGAAGAUUUCAUGGGGCAUUCACCGGAGGAUUUUCUGCUGGCCAUUACAAUACAGUGGGCUCAAAAGAAGGUUGGACUCCACAGUCAUUUACGUCGUCCCGAAAGAAUCGAGCUGAAGUCAAGCAACAAAACAUUUUAAAUUUCUUAGACGAAGAUGAAAAAGCUGAAUUGGAAGGUCGAGGCCUGGGGACAGCAUCUCAGUUUGAUACAUUUGGGUUCACAGCAGUAGAACUUGCUCGUAAACAAGCUGACAAGGAGCAACAACAGAGGCCGUCUGCUAUUCCUGGACCUGUUCCUGAUGAAUUAAUUGUUCCAGCUGCAGAAUCCAUAGGUGUGAAGUUACUAUUAAAGAUGGGAUGGCGGCAUGGACGUGCAAUAAAGGACUCACGAGCUAAUUCUCUUUAUGAUGCUCGAAGGGAUGCUCGAAAAGCGUUUCUAGCAUUUUCAAUGGGUGAUGCCAAAUCAGAAAUCCCCAAUUCUGAAUCAUUUCAGGAGGAUGAUGAUAUUGUUUCUCCUCAAUCGGCCAAGGGUGAUAUUUCGUCUUCUCAAAGCACACCAGUUUAUGUGAUCAACCCAAAACAAGAUUUGCAUGGUUUAGGUUUUGAUCCUUACAAGCAUGCACCAGAGUUUAGGGAAAAGAAAAGAGCACGCACAACUGGGAAUCAGGAAGGUUACAAAAAAGUUUUCUCCACAAAGAAUAAUCUUUUUGGCUUUAGGACUGAGAGGAUUGCUUCUGGCUUUGGCAUUGGUGCGCUUGAAGAACUUGAUGUUGAAGAUGAGGAUGUUUAUACCUCUGGUUAUGAGUUUGAGGAAACAUAUGUGCAAGAAGACGAUGAGCCACCUUCUAAAUUGAUCACAGAUGGCAAACAAAAGUUGAUUGGAAGAAAAGUUGAGGGUGUCUUGCUUGGAUUCAGAAUUGCUUCAAAAUCUGACUACCAGUUGGAGAGGUUUGAUCCUCCUGUAAUACCUAAGGACUUUAUACCCCACCACAAAUUUGCGGGGCCUCUCAAUGGAGGCUAUAAGCUUGCUGAUACCCCUCCUGUCGAGGUUUCUCCUCCUGAGGAUAAUAAUCUGAAACUUCUAAUUGAAGGGGUGGCAACUUUGGUUGCUCGCUGUGGAAAAUUAUUUGAGGAUCUCUCUAGAGAAAAAAAUAAGUCAAAUCCAUUAUUUAGUUUUCUUAGUGGAGGAACUGGCCAUGAAUAUUAUUCAAGGAAGCUAUGGGAGGAGCAACUGAAGCGCGUGGACCAACCUAAGCCUCAAUUUGAUGAUAAAUUGUCCCCAAGCCUGGAGAAGAUGACAGCUGAAAGUCGUGGAAAAAUACUUGGUGAGAAGCCUUUGGCAAGAAGCUCUAAAGGGUUAAAUCCACCCGCAGCUUCUGAUGGCGUGCAUGUCCAAUACAAUCUUUCGGAUACAUUUACUAAAUCUACAUCAUCCGGUGGGAUGCCAGAGGUUGUCAAACCUUUCAAGGAUGAUCCAGCUAAGCAGGAAAGAUUUGAGCAUUUUUUAAAGGAAAAGUAUCAAGGAGGCCUGCGCACUGGUGCUCCUGUUGGAGCUAUUAACAUGUCAGAAGCAGCUCGUGCACGUGAACGCUUGGACUUUGAGGCUGCUGCAGAGGCGAUUGAGAAAGGGAAAGGGUUGAAAGAAUCUAAGCUCUCUGCCGAGCACUUUGUGGAUUUUUUAGCCACUGGAGGAAUGCAGUUUACCUCUGGUGGUGUAGAGGAAGUCAAAGAUACAAAGCUAGAAGGUUUAAUGAUGGAGAAAAUGUUCCCAAAACGGGAAGAAUAUCAGUGGCGUCCUACUCCUAUUCUGUGCAAGCGGUUUGAUCUAAUUGAUCCCUACAUGGGGAAGCCACCACCAGCCCCUAGGAUGAGGAGCAAGUUGGAUACACUUAUUUUCACAUCAAAUUCUGUCAAAUCUACAAAGAUUGAACAAGCUUCAACAACCACCUCUUCUUCAUUAUCUCAAUCGAAUGCUGAAGAAAAAGACAGAGAUGCACCUGAAAAUGUAAAUGAAAAAGUGGAAGUUGAAUGUGUUGAUCGGCCUGUUGAUCUAUAUAAGGCUAUUUUCUCUGAUGAGUCAGAUGACGAAGAGAGUACGUCAACUCUCAAGCAAGCUGAGGAUCCUAAUAAGAAAGUUGAAGUGGCUAAUACAACACUAAAUCGUUUGAUCGUGGGUGACUUUCUUGAAUCUUUGGGUAAAGAACUGGGCUUGGAAGUGCCUCCAGAUCUGCCUCCAUCAAAGAAAGGCCAAACUGCAGCUCCUCAGACAGAAGCUGUACCUGUUGGUGAACAAAAUACGAAUAUCCUUUCAGUUGAAGAUAAGCCUUAUCCCACUCCAUCUUCCACUAGGAUUCUAUCGGACCAUCGAACGACAGGCACCAUGGAACUUGAUCUAAAUGGCAGAAAAGAAGACGAUGAACACAAUCAUAACUCUACUGUAAGUGGUGGUAAAAUUAUGGAGACCAGUUCUUCGAAGAAAACUUUGGGUAAAGUUUAUGAAGAAAAGAUGUACAAGGACAAGGGGGAUAGGAAGGCUAAUAACAGGAGAGUUGACGACAUUCAUCGUGAUCAUAGCAACAGCUCAUCAUCGGAAGAUGAAAAGAGAAGAAAACGUUCGAGGAGGCGAAGGUAUAAAAGUAGCGACUCAGAGGAUAGUGGAUCAAGUGAUUAUCAUAUGAAAGAGCACUCUAGAUCACGAGAUAGAAAGAAAGGAUCUUCUCAAGAAAAGAAGAGCCGUAGAAAACAUUCAAAACAUCACAAGCACAGACAUAGAGAUUCUUCCCCUAGAGAUCAUCAUCGCUUUGGAAAAGAUCGUACAACAUCCGAGAGAGAGAAACAUAGAUGGAGAGAUUGAAAAAAUGGGGCUGUGUUACCUUGGUUUUGCUUCGGAAGUUGAAACUACCCACUAUGAAACAUCAGAUUUCCAAAUAGCAAUGUCCAACGAAGGAAAUCCAGUUUCAGCAUCACUGCAUCAGAAGAUCCACAAUCUCUUAGUUUCCACUCGCAGAUGACUAGUCAUGCAGCUUCUUCGUUAAGGAAUGCUAAAUUGUUCUCUCUAAACUUCAAGGGCUCUACGGAUUCAAAUUUCUUGAGAUACAAAGGAGUAUAUGCUUUUACAACUUCUUCAAUGCUUCUCUGAGAAGUUAGGUGAUGUACGUGAUGUCAAGCUAUCAAGGUUCUUCAGGUCGUCGUUUGCAAUCAUUUGAACUUGCGACAUUCAGACGUCGCUGUGUUCUUGGAUUCUUCUGGGUCAGUGUUAAAUUGUACAAGGAUCAUGUUCAUAAUGUUAAUUGACGAGAAAUAUACCUUCUUAUGUUGGUUUUUGUUUAGUUACAAAUAUGUUUGGAGAACCUUGACAUGGAGUGUGAUGUAAGACUCUUCGUUGGUUCUUCUAUAGAUCAAUAUGGAAAACUAGGAUCCUAACCUAUUUUGUGAAGAAAUGAAAUCCUUAGAAUGUACUGCUACUUAUAA
Benincasa hispida (wax gourd) is the source of this 3983-nucleotide non-coding RNA. Lineage: Eukaryota; Viridiplantae; Streptophyta; Magnoliopsida; Cucurbitales; Cucurbitaceae. The record is from RefSeq and is a predicted model, not a curated record.